RNAcentral lists this long non-coding RNA (1598 nucleotides) under Rattus norvegicus (Norway rat). Its description in RNAcentral is "long non-coding RNA NONRATT033571". Lineage: Eukaryota; Metazoa; Chordata; Mammalia; Rodentia; Muridae. The record is from RNAcentral.
UGCUGACCCCAGGGGAGAUCUGUCUCUAUGCUCCUAAGAUUGUGCUUCAUGUUGGGAUUUCAGGGUAUGCUUCUUUACCCUUCAAAUCCAGUCUCUGAGACCCGGCUUGCUUCAAACAGAUCCUGUACUAAGACUCAGGGCAUGAAGACAGCCAGCCACAGGCCAGACCUCAGAGAAAUCCGUAGUCCUACCCAAGCUGUCUCUGGUGAGGCAGACUUUCAGCAGCUUCUGGCCACUGGGCUGAGGAAACUCGGAGACUAUAAUAAUGGUAUUACAGAAGGAAUAAGCAUUUCAAGAUGUUCCUGCCUCUACCUCUCAAGUGCUGGGAUUAGAGGAGUAAGCCAUUUUAUCCAGUUUACAGCACAGUGGUUGAAUACCAAGUGUUGUGCGCACAAGCAUGCUAAGCAACAGAGCUACCAGCCCAGGCCAUGUACUGUUCCUUGUGCAAUCGUAAUGCUGGAAUGUUGUCAAACCACAGAGAGCUGAGGACCACUCGCAUCUCCCGACACUGACAUCUGGAUGCUUGAAACCAUCAUAGGCUCUUUCUGGAAAGGUCAAAUAUGAAAAUUCAUUUAUGAAACAAGGCUCACUGUGAGAUCAGCAAGAGGUCCAGAUCUGAGAUCAGACCCGCCUAGCUGUGGAACACUUGGUGGUGGACAUUGGACAGAGGCAGCAGCUGCCCUGGGAGUCUGACUCCCUCAGAGUCUCUGGUGGGGUCCCAGUCAAACAGUGUCAUGUGCCCAUAACCAGGAACUUCACACUUCAGACCCAGAGUGCCUUGAAUCUAUUUUUAAAGGCGUCAGAAAUGAGGUUCUAAAGUGAAACCUCCUGACUUGCAAAUGCUAGCGACCAAUCGCUUCUUUCCAAAACCUGUUUUGAAUAAACCGGACUCGCCUGCAGGCCACGUUGGGGCUCAUCUGGUCAAGCCCAGUCUACUCCCAAAGGACCUGUUUGGUUUGGCAGGGAGUUCUUUCUGGAACCUACCUUCCCCUCAAGGCAUUCGCAGAGAGCUACCCCGUUCUGAGACGACAAAGCCCCAGGGCCCAUCCAAGCGAGCCUAAAGAGCCAGCCCACCUCCGUCAUAGAUUUAAAGGCCACUCUGUAGUAAAGAGAAACCGGGCUUUAUUCCUGUUUACGGUUAAAUCUGUUUCUCAAGAAUUGGGUUAUGCCCCAACUGUAAAUUUAACUACAAAUGACUCUGUACUGCCUGUUCCAGGAAAUGGCAACCGUGUCUUUGUUUCAAAGAGAUAUUUAUAACUAUCUUGCAACCCUAAAGGUUAAAUGACCCCCUAUCACGACCUUAUUAUGACUAUCUGUUGUGAUAGCCUUGUUGUGACUAUUGUGUUCUGCUCCUGUAACCCUGCAAAAAAAAAACAAAAAAAAAAAACAAACAAAAAAAAAAACAACAACAACAACCUACCCCUGAGGAUAAUGGCUAAUUAAAAAGGUGCACAGAAGGGACUGGGAGAUGGCUCAGCGGUUAAGAGCACUGACUGCUCUUCCAGAAGUCCUGAGUUCAAAUCCCAGCAACCACAUGGUAGCUCACAACCAUCUGUAAUGGGAUCCGAUGCCCUCUUCUGGUGUGUCUGAAGACAGUG